GGAAGAGACACACUGAUAGAGCGGUUAACAGCCUCACAUUUUUGUGUACUGGUACCUAGUUUCAUCUGUUCUACAGCAGAGUCACUUAGUUUCAUUUUAAUUAUCUCCUGUACUAAAUGUCUGUCAUUUUCUUCCAUGAACAGGUUGGUGAUUUUAUGACUGGCGAGAAACAUAGAACGGUUCCACAAAGAGUUGGUAACACUUCCACCACAGACGUAUGAGUGACGCCUACAGCUUGAACAGUCACCGGCAUAGCAGUUUAAUGUGGCAGUUAGGACACUAGGUAUGCAUGUUCAAAGUGUCUGAUGACACCAUACAGAAAUCCUGAUACCCCAACAAAAGAAAGGUACAAUAAAGCUCCCUGCAAGACCAGAGUAGCUGUGGAAAUGAUCUUUGGAAGGUGGAAAAGGAGAUUUGGUAUCCUACAUGGAGAGGUAAGACUCACUCCAGAGAAAACCAGCAGAGUUAUAAUUGCAUGUGCUGUACUGCACAAUAUAGCAAUUUUACUUGGAGAGCCAGACUUCCCAGAUGAUGGUCAGCAGAUAGACCCACCUCAACCAGCAGUACAGUACGCAGGGCCAGAAGAUGGAUGAUUGAUAAGGGACUAUAUAACAAGACACUAUUUUUAAUUUCGAUAUCUAUUAGUAGGCCUGGAUUUUAAGAACAACUAUUUGAAGAAUUUUCUAGCUAUUAUACUCACCCUGGAGCAUCACACCUUGAUCAAAGUUUUGUAUGUGCAAGCACACAUGGCUAGCAUUUAAAGGCAUAAUUAUGUAGCUUUUUAACAUAUAUUUUUACCAAAUUUUGCCCCCUUUUGGACUUAGAAUAUCCUUAUUAAUGUUUUGUAUGCAAAUAACUGUCUCCAGAAUUAAUGCAGAUAUUGAAUUUAAACUUUACAAUUUUUUUUUGUGUUUUCAGGGUUAUAAAUCAAAGUGAUGGCAUCAAGUCCCAUAACUCUGUCAUGCAUUUUAAACAAUUUUAUGCCCCUUUUAAGACUUAGAAUAUCCCGGUUAAUGUUUUGUAUGCAAAUUACUGUCUCCAAAUCUAAUGCAGAUAUUGAAUUUAAACUUUACAUGUGUUUUCAGGGUUAAUAAUCAAAGUGAUGGCAUCAGCCCCUGUCAAUUGUUUAUUCAUACUUCAUGAAGUGCUCAUGAAGCAUUCAUGACUUCUUCAUGAGGAGUCUUCAUGACAAAAACAUGAAGUGCAAAUGAGACCAAUGCAUCAAGAGCUCAUGAAAACAGAUUCAUGAAUUAUUCAUGAAGUGGUAAAUGCAUUAAAAUGCAUGAAAUUAAGCAUAGCCUGUGUUCAUGAAGAAUCCAUGAAGUCUGUAUUUAUUAAUCUUCAUGAAGAAUUCAUGAAAAUAUUCCUGAAAAAAAUACUUCAUGAAGAAUUCAUACAUUAUUUUAUUCUUUAUUUCAAUGUCUCACUUGGACUUCAUGUUUUUUCCAUGAACACUUCAAGCAUAAAUAUUCUUAUAACUUCAUGAAGACAUUUGUGUUUAAAUUCUUGAAUAUUUCAUGAACAAUACAAAACAUUAUAAAAGGACUUCUUUGCCAUAGAUGAUACAGUAAUCCAUCAUGGAUAUUUAUUCAUGAACUAUUUGUGUUAAAAAAAGUUUCAUGAACUAGUCAAGGUAACCAGUGGUAGGAGUGAAAGCUGAGAGAUCUGCAUGUAAUGGGAUUCUUUUUACAAUAUGGGUAUUGCUUGAUACAAGGAAAAAACAUGUAGGUCAAAGUGUUGUUCAGUUAGUGGCUAGAGAUUGUUUAAGUCUCUACUUUGACAAUGACAUUUUCUAUCCUCAACAAAUGAAAUGUUGAGUCAAACAGUAAACUAGAGUGGGAUUUGGAGCAUAAUAAGAAGUAAACAAUUGCUGUAUAAAAUACAAAAGAAUAAGUUAAACAAUGUAUAAUUUACUUUAAUCUCAAGAUUGAAAUUUAGAUAAUAGCUUUGCUUCAGGGUCCUGAAAACUUGUGACAUUUUAGAAGGAUUUUGUAUUUUAAAAAUGAAUGAUUUAUAACAACACCAUAAUUACUUAUUUGAUAUUCAGUACAUGUAUACUCAUGUUCCUUUGAAAACCAUUCCUAACUGUAGUAUGAUAAAUAUUUCCUCCUCAUUUGCUGCACAAACUUCUCAAAAAUUGCUGAAUCACAUGUGCAAAACAUUUCCCACAAUGCAACAAAAUAAUGGAAACUGAUCAUGUGACAUGAAUUUAAUGUUCAUGAACUUAUUCAUUUAUUGUAAAAGGUAAACCUAAGUUUUAUGUUUAAUGAAUGGACAGUUCAGAAACUCACAAUUAGGUUCAAGAACUGAACUAGAAAAAAGUUUUGAAUUUUAGUACUUUUAAUGAAUCAUAGAUAUACUCAUUACAUAUUCAUGACUUUUUCUUAAGAACACAUAAAGAAUGUUUUAAGAAUUUAAUAUUCUUAAACUGUUCAUAAAAUUUUCAUCAUUUUUUUUCAAGAAUUUUUCUUGAAUUCUGUAGGUAUAUUGACAUUCAUGAAAAAAUAUUCAUUCAUUCUUAAACUAGUUCAUAAAUAUUUUAAGGAUUUUAUGAAUCUGUCAAUAAUGCUUGAUAUCUUCAUGAAGUAGGUCAAAUGACACUUCAUGCAUAAAACUUCAUGAAGUUAGAUUAAGAAGUAAUCCAGAACAGUUCAUGAAUAAUUCAUAAUGGUGAUGAAAAAUUUAUGAUUUCAUUAAUUCCAUUUCACCAGUGCUUGAAGUCCCAUAACUCUGUCAUACAUUUUAAGUAAUUUUGUGCCCCUUUUAAGACUUAGAAUAUCCUGAUAAGAUAUUGUGUGCAAGUUACUAUUUCCGAAACUAAUUGAAACUCCAUAUGAGCAAUGCCAUGAGAAAACCAACAUAGUACGCAGUCUGGUCAAGAUCCAUGCUGUUCACUUUCAAACCCUUUUGCAAUGAGAGAAACCAAUAGCAAACAGAAUGCUGGUUGCAAACACACUAUGUUGGUUUUCUCAUUGCACGGCUCAUAUA
Mercenaria mercenaria is the source of this 2988-nucleotide long non-coding RNA. RefSeq lists it as uncharacterized. NCBI's taxonomy places the organism in Eukaryota, Metazoa, Mollusca, Bivalvia, Venerida, Veneridae. The transcript is spliced from 3 exons. The record is from RefSeq and is a predicted model, not a curated record.